CAGUAGCCGCGGGAAUACGAAGGGUGCGAGCGUUAAUCGGAAUUACUGGGCGUAAAGCGUGCGCAGGCGGUUCGUUAAGACAGAUGUGAAAUCCCCGGGCUUAACCUGGGAACUGCAUUUGUGACUGGCGAGCUAGAGUAUGGCAGAGGGGGGUAGAAUUCCACGUGUAGCAGUGAAAUGCGUAGAGAUGUGGAGGAAUACCGAUGGCGAAGGCAGCCCCCUGGGCCAAUACUGACGCUCAUGCACGAAAGCGUGGGGAGCAAACAGGAUUAGAUACCCCCGUAGUCCCUGUCUCUUAUAC
This 301-nucleotide ribosomal RNA is filed under the name uncultured bacterium. RNAcentral describes it as "partial 16S ribosomal RNA". It matches the Rfam family "Bacterial small subunit ribosomal RNA", at positions 509 to 807 of the family's 1533-position model. The record is from RNAcentral.